GAGGGAAAGGCGAAAAGAACCCCGGCGAGGGGAGUGAAAAAGAACCUGAAACCGUGUACGUACAAGCAGUAGGAGCCUCUUUAUGGGGUGACUGCGUACCUUUUGUAUAAUGGGUCAGCGACUUAUAUUCUGUAGCGAGGUUAACCGUAUAGGGGAGCCGUAGGGAAACCGAGUCUUAACUGGGCGAAUGAGUUGCAGGGUAUAGACCCGAAACCCGGUGAUCUA
This 225-nucleotide ribosomal RNA is filed under the name Proteus mirabilis. Its description in RNAcentral is "partial 23S ribosomal RNA". It matches the Rfam family "Bacterial large subunit ribosomal RNA", at positions 505 to 732 of the family's 2925-position model. The record is from RNAcentral. Lineage: Bacteria; Pseudomonadati; Pseudomonadota; Gammaproteobacteria; Enterobacterales; Morganellaceae.